GGGCAUUGACUCUUUUCUUUUUUUCUUGCAAGAUUAUUAUAUAAUUUGUGAAAAAUUUCCAAAAAUCUUACAGCACCUGGUAUUACUAGGCAGUCCCCCAUCCAAGUACUAACCAGGCCCAAAUCUGCUUAGCUUCCGAGCUCAGACAUGAUCUGGCAUAGCCAGGUUGGUAUGGCCAUAAGCGAAGACUGCUGCAAAGAGAGGGCUAUUUAAAGAUCAGCCAAUCUAAUCGCCGGUACAUCAUAUAAGUAGGAAAGAAAACCCUAAACCUUAAAGCACCUGGUAUUCCCAGGCGGUCUCCUAUCCAAGUACCAACCAGGGCC
Molecule: long non-coding RNA, 323 nt
Organism: Carassius gibelio (silver crucian carp)
Lineage: Eukaryota; Metazoa; Chordata; Actinopteri; Cypriniformes; Cyprinidae
Exons: 3
Source: RefSeq, a predicted model, not a curated record